AGCGAACGCUGGCGGCAGGCCUAACACAUGCAAGUCGAACGAACCUUUCGGGGUUAGUGGCGGACGGGUGAGUAACACGUGGGAACGUGCCUUUAGGUUCGGAAUAACUCAGGGAAACUUGUGCUAAUACCGAAUGUGCCCUUCGGGGGAAAGAUUUAUCGCCUUUAGAGCGGCCCGCGUCUGAUUAUCUAGUUGGUUGAGGUAAUGGCUCACCAAGGCGACGAUUAGUAGCUGGGCUGAGAGGAUGCGCAGGCACAUUGGGACUGAGACACGGCCCCAACUCCUUAGGGAAGUGGUCAUGGGGAAUCUUACGAAAUGGGCGAAAGCCUGACGCAGCCAUGCCGCGUGAAUGAUGAAGGUCUUAGGAUUGUAAAAUUCUUUCACCGGGGACGAUAAUGACGGUACCCGGAGAAGAAGCCCCGGCUAACUUCGUG
Molecule: ribosomal RNA, 434 nt
Filed under: uncultured bacterium
Lineage: Bacteria
Description: partial 16S ribosomal RNA
Rfam family: Bacterial small subunit ribosomal RNA
Source: RNAcentral